AGCUAAUAGAUACCCAGGUAGUCCACGCCCUAAACGAUGUCUACUAGUUGUUGGUGGAGUAAAAUCCAUGAGUAAACGCAGCUAACGCGUGAAGUAGACCGCCUGGGGAGUACGGUCGCAAGAUUAAAACUCAAAGGAAUUGACGGGGGCCCGCACAAGCGGUGGAUUAUGUGGAUUAAUUCGAUGCAACGCGAAAACCUUACCUGGCCUUGACAUGCCACUAACGAAGCAGAGAUGCAUUAGGUGCCCGUAAGGGAAAGUGGACACAGGUGCUGCACGGCUGUCGUCAGCUCGUGUCGUGAGAUGUUGGGUUAAGUCCCGCAACGAGCGCAACCCUUGCCAUUAAUUGCCAUCAUUUAGUUGGGCACUUUAAUGGGACUGCCGGUGACAAACCGGAGGAAGGUGGGGAUGACGUCAAGUCCUCAUGGCCCUUAUGGCCAGGGCUUCACACGUAAUACAAUGGUCGGUACAGAGAGUUGCCAACCCGCGAGGGGUAGCUAAUCUCAGAAAGCCGAUCGUAGUCCGGACUGUUCUCUGC
RNAcentral lists this ribosomal RNA (538 nucleotides) under uncultured bacterium. RNAcentral describes it as "bacterial SSU rRNA". It matches the Rfam family "Bacterial small subunit ribosomal RNA", at positions 767 to 1308 of the family's 1533-position model. The record is from RNAcentral.